RNAcentral lists this ribosomal RNA (368 nucleotides) under uncultured organism. RNAcentral's name for it is "bacterial SSU rRNA". It matches the Rfam family "Bacterial small subunit ribosomal RNA", at positions 526 to 896 of the family's 1533-position model. The record is from RNAcentral.
CGGAGGGUGCAAGCGUUAUCCGGAUUUACUGGGUUUAAAGGGAGCGUAGGUGGGUCUGUAAGUCAGUGGUGAAAUCUUCGAGCUUAACUCGGAAACUGCCAUUGAUACUAUAGAUCUUGAAUUAUCUGGAGGUAAGCGGAAUAUGUCAUGUAGCGGUGAAAUGCUUAGAUAUGACAUAGAACACCAAUUGCGAAGGCAGCUUACUACGGAUAUAUUGACACUGAGGCUCGAAAGCGUGGGGAUCAAACAGGAUUAGAUACCCUGGUAGUCCACGCCCUAAACGAUGGAUACUCGACAUCAGCGAUACACUGUUGGUGUCUGAGCGAAAGCAUUAAGUAUCCCACCUGGGAAGUACGAUCGCAAGAUUG